AUGAUGAGUGUGAGCAGCAAGCUGAUGGUGAUGCUGAGUGUGAACAGCAAGGCGAUGGUGAUGCUGAGUGUGAGCAACAAGGUCAUGGUGAGUGUGAGCAGCAAGGUCAUGGUCAAGAUAUUGUACCUGUUGAAGAAGAAAGAUGUCAGGGUGAUGGGGUUGUUGAAGGUCAAAUUGAAACCUAGUGUGAAGGAAAUACUGUUACUGUCCAUAGUUGUAGCUCUAGUGGUGAGGAUGGGAA
This 241-nucleotide long non-coding RNA is filed under the name Vigna radiata. Its description in RNAcentral is "long non-coding RNA (VRAD_LNC014281)". Lineage: Eukaryota; Viridiplantae; Streptophyta; Magnoliopsida; Fabales; Fabaceae. The record is from RNAcentral.